This 480-nucleotide ribosomal RNA is filed under the name uncultured Thermotogales bacterium. RNAcentral's name for it is "bacterial SSU rRNA". It matches the Rfam family "Bacterial small subunit ribosomal RNA", at positions 325 to 795 of the family's 1533-position model. Lineage: Bacteria; Thermotogati; Thermotogota; Thermotogae; Thermotogales. The record is from RNAcentral.
CACGGGUCCUACUCCUACGGGAGGCAGCAGUGCGGAAYUUUGGUCAAUGGAGGAAACUCUGAACCAGCGACGCCGCGUGUGAGACGAAGGUCUYCGGAUUGUAAAACACUGUGGUAAGGGAAAAACAUCUCAUAGAGUGGAAAGCUGUGAGGAAGGAUGGUACCUUACUAGAAAGCCCCGGCUAACUACGUGCCAGCAGCCGCGGUAAUACGUAGGGGGCAAGCGUUGCCYGGAAUCACUGGGCGUGAAGGGAGCGUAGGYGGCCUAAAAAGUCUACUGUGAAAAAUCGGAGCUCAACUCCGAUCUUGCGGUAGAAACUAGUAGGCUUGAGGACGGUAGAGGAARACGGAACAGCUGGYGUAGGGGUAAAAUCCUUAGAUAUCAGCUGGAACGCCGGUGACGAAGGYGGUYUUCUGGGCCGGACCUGACGCUGAGGCUCGAAAGCCAGGGUAGCGAACGGGAUUAGAUACCCCGGUAGUC